RNAcentral lists this small nuclear RNA (179 nucleotides) under Chinchilla lanigera (long-tailed chinchilla). RNAcentral's name for it is "U2 spliceosomal RNA (ENSCLAG00000020753.1)". It matches the Rfam family "U2 spliceosomal RNA". From Rfam's summary of the family: U2 is a small nuclear RNA (snRNA) component of the spliceosome (involved in pre-mRNA splicing). Complementary binding between U2 snRNA (in an area lying towards the 5' end but 3' to hairpin I) and the branchpoint sequence (BPS) of the intron results the bulging out of an unpaired adenosine, on the BPS, which initiates a nucleophilic attack at the intronic 5' splice site, thus starting the first of two transesterification reactions that mediate splicing. Lineage: Eukaryota; Metazoa; Chordata; Mammalia; Rodentia; Chinchillidae. The record is from RNAcentral.
UGGCCUUUUCAUUAAAAUUAAUUAUGGUGUCUAUAUUUACUAGUUUAAUAUCUAAUGUCCUCUAUCUUAGGACAACAUAUUAAAUGCAUUUUUGUAGUUGGGAAAUGGAAUAGGAGCUUGCUCGUCCACUUUGUGCAUUGACCUAGUACUGCAGCACCUACAGGAAAUGUGAGCCCCAU